AUGCCUUAAACUUAAGAGUAAUGCAAAUAAUGAUUCAAUGUGAUGCCCAAGUCCUCACUGCUAAUGUGAGAUGAAUUUAUGAGCGGGAAAAGGUUGCCCCUAAGAUGACCCGCCUACUUUGCAGGAUGCCUGGGAGUUAAGAUCUGCCCA
Small nuclear RNA from Molossus molossus (Pallas's mastiff bat), 150 nucleotides. RefSeq annotates it as U12 minor spliceosomal RNA. Lineage: Eukaryota; Metazoa; Chordata; Mammalia; Chiroptera; Molossidae. The record is from RefSeq and is a predicted model, not a curated record. The transcript has a single exon.